AGUGCCAAGUAAUUGGACUUUGACACGAUUGCCGGGAUAAGUACAAACAUGCACCAUUAUACUAUGGGUAAGUGCCAGUGAUUGCCUGGAAAUAUAGAGAUUGUGGAGCAUGUUCCCUGGCUUCUGGUGGCUAUGGGCACCGUCUUGUGGUGUGGGUGAGUGAUAGUAUCCAAUGUCCCUUGGUUGUACCAACUUUUGACCAAUUUCGAUCUAUCUAGGUCCAUGAAAUGGGCCAGGUUCUGACUCAAUCCAUGGGAAUCGAUUCAUGUAGCCUCCUGGUCGAUGGGCACCAUGAGGCUCGGCUGGCAUCCACCGAUCCUGCUAGAUUCCAUUCUAGGCCCCAUGUAACACCCAUUUGUGCCCUAAUUCAACCACAUCGUAUGGCAAGUUGAACCUUUUUGACUACUAUUCUAAAUCUCGCAUGUGUCUCACACCCGGAACAUAUUUCUAUCAUAGAGGUAUAUCGUGCCAUGUAAUCCAGUUUAACAGAAUAAUAAAUACACAAUAAUCCAGAACCUCAUCCAAAUUUGGCUCCAUAUAAGU
Molecule: long non-coding RNA, 543 nt
Filed under: Elaeis guineensis (African oil palm)
Lineage: Eukaryota; Viridiplantae; Streptophyta; Magnoliopsida; Arecales; Arecaceae
Description: long non-coding RNA (EGUI_LNC022374)
Source: RNAcentral